GACAGAGGUGGCGAGCGUUGUUCGGAAUUACUGGGCUUAAAGGGCGAGUAGGCGGUGGGGCAAGUCUGAGGUGGAAACCUAUGGCUUAACCAUAGAACUGCCUUGGAUACUGUUUCACUUGAGUCAGUGAGGGGAGGGCGGAAUUCCCGGUGUAGCGGUGAAAUGCGUAGAUAUCGGGAGGAAGGCCAGUGGCGAAGGCGGCCCUCUGGCGCUGAACUGACGCUGAGGCGCGAAAGCGUGGGGAGCAAACAGG
RNAcentral lists this ribosomal RNA (253 nucleotides) under uncultured bacterium. RNAcentral's name for it is "partial 16S ribosomal RNA". It matches the Rfam family "Bacterial small subunit ribosomal RNA", at positions 524 to 776 of the family's 1533-position model. The record is from RNAcentral.